GACGGGGCCCGCACAAGCGGUGGAGCAUGUGGUUAAUUCGACGCAACGCGAAGAACCUUACCAGGGCUUGACAUCCCCUGACCGCGUAUGAAAGUACGUUUUCACCCUCGGGUGACAGGGAGACAGGUGGUGCAUGGUUGUCGUCAGCUCGUGUCGUGAGAUGUUGGGUUAAGUCCCGCAACGAGCGCAACCCCUACGUUUAGUUGCUAACGCGUGAAGGCGAGCACUCUAGACGAACUGCCGUUGACAAAACGGAGGAAGGUGGGAUGACGUCAAAUCAUCAUGCCCCUUAUGCUCUGGGCUACACACGUGCUACAAUGGCCGGUACAGACGGACGCAAAGCCGCGAGGUGGAGCAAAUCCUAAAAAGCCGGUCUCAGUUCGGAUUGCAGGCUGCAAUUCGCCUGCAUGAAGUCGGAAUCGCUAGUAAUCGCAGGUCAGCAUACUGCGGUGAAUACGUUCCCGGGCCUU
Molecule: ribosomal RNA, 470 nt
Filed under: uncultured Pelotomaculum sp.
Lineage: Bacteria; Bacillati; Bacillota; Clostridia; Eubacteriales; Desulfotomaculaceae
Description: bacterial SSU rRNA
Rfam family: Bacterial small subunit ribosomal RNA
Source: RNAcentral